This 497-nucleotide ribosomal RNA is filed under the name Staphylococcus aureus. RNAcentral's name for it is "partial 23S ribosomal RNA". It matches the Rfam family "Bacterial large subunit ribosomal RNA", at positions 1015 to 1515 of the family's 2925-position model. Lineage: Bacteria; Bacillati; Bacillota; Bacilli; Caryophanales; Staphylococcaceae. The record is from RNAcentral.
AAGGGAAACAGCCCAGACCACCAGCUAAGGUCCCAAAAUAUAUGUUAAGUGGAAAAGGAUGUGGCGUUGCCCAGACAACUAGGAUGUUGGCUUAGAAGCAGCCAUCAUUUAAAGAGUGCGUAAUAGCUCACUAGUCGAGUGACACUGCGCCGAAAAUGUACCGGGGCUAAACAUAUUACCGAAGCUGUGGAUUGUCCUUUGGACAAUGGUAGGAGAGCGUUCUAAGGGCGUUGAAGCAUGAUCGUAAGAACAUGUGGAGCGCUUAGAAGUGAGAAUGCCGGUGUGAGUAGCGAAAGACGGGUGAGAAUCCCGUCCACCGAUUGACUAAGGUUUCCAGAGGAAGGCUCGUCCGCUCUGGGUUAGUCGGGUCCUAAGCUGAGGCCGACAGGCGUAGGCGAUGGAUAACAGGUUGAUAUUCCUGUACCACCUAUAAUCGUUUUAAUCGAUGGGGGGACGCAGUAGGAUAGGCGAAGCGUGCGAUUGGAUUGCACGUCUAA